CGGGUUCUGCCCUUCUCGUAUACGGGUACAUUCCGGUGGCCUUAAGCAAAUCCGAGGGAGCUGGCUCUGGCGGGAUCGUGGUCUCGUUACCUGGCGCCCACCUGUACAUACAGGUCCUCGGGAAUGCACUACCCACACGGUUGGCGCGGUUCCCGC
This 156-nucleotide unclassified non-coding RNA is filed under the name Antarctobacter heliothermus. RNAcentral describes it as "6S / SsrS RNA". The record is from RNAcentral. Lineage: Bacteria; Pseudomonadati; Pseudomonadota; Alphaproteobacteria; Rhodobacterales; Roseobacteraceae.